Small nuclear RNA from Dermacentor andersoni, 183 nucleotides. RefSeq annotates it as U2 spliceosomal RNA. NCBI's taxonomy places the organism in Eukaryota, Metazoa, Arthropoda, Arachnida, Ixodida, Ixodidae. The record is from RefSeq and is a predicted model, not a curated record.
ACAUGGCCCAGGUGGGUCGAAGUGUAGUAUCUGUUCUUAUCAGCUUACUAUUUGAUACGGGUUGCAUUAUGACCCAAGAUAUUAAACUUAUUUUUGCAAGUCGGCGGAGUGCGUGAAGCCUGAUUCACGUUCACCGCGGGCCGACCCGGUAUUUGCACUGUCUUCGAGAUCGGCUCACGGUGU